UACGAACCGUCCAAACGUUAUUCGGAUUUAUUGGGCUUAAAGGGUAUGUAGGCGGCCCUUCAAGUCGGGUGUGAAAGCCCUCGGCUCAACCGAGGAACUGCGCCCGAUACUGCAGGGCUUGAGUGAGACAGGGGUAAGCGGAACUGAUGGUGGAGCGGUGAAAUGCGUUGAUAUCAUCAGGAACACCAGUGGCGAAAGCGGCUUACUGGGUCUCUUCUGACGCUGAGAUACGAAAGCGUAGGUAGCGAACAGG
RNAcentral lists this unclassified non-coding RNA (253 nucleotides) under uncultured Pirellulaceae bacterium. RNAcentral describes it as "contains 16S-23S intergenic spacer region". It matches the Rfam family "Bacterial small subunit ribosomal RNA", at positions 524 to 776 of the family's 1533-position model. Lineage: Bacteria; Pseudomonadati; Planctomycetota; Planctomycetia; Pirellulales; Pirellulaceae. The record is from RNAcentral.